UAAUACAAUUCUAAAUAUACAAUAACAACAUAGGGAUACAUGCUUUAAUUAUUCUUUUUAUAUGUUUUUAUAUUUAAAAUACUUGUGUUGCUUGAUAAUCUAUUAUGCAAUUGCUAGAUCUUACUAUCUUUCUUUUAUGUAAGUUUUUUUUUAAGAAGUGAUUCUGUAAUAACCAUUCAAUCAUUUGUAGUAGCCGUUAGUUGUUUUCUCAUUGUGUGAAUGCUUGACCAAAAAACAUUUUAUUUAUUAUUUAAUUUUUUUUUUUUUUUUGAUUACAGGUAGAUGCCACUGAGAGUGAACCAAAGAGUUUUAUCUUUAUGAGUGAGGAUGCUUUGACAAAUCCACAGAAACUGAUGGUUUUAAUUCAUGGUAGUGGUGUUGUCAGGGCAGGUCAGUGGGCUAGAAGGCUUAUUAUUAAUGAAGAUCUGGACAGUGGCACACAGAUACCUUUUAUUAAGAGAGCUAUGGAUGUAAGUGAAUCUUCCUUUGUUUUGGGGGGCAUUUUAUCAUUCUGUUUUAUUGCAUAGAACAGUUUUAUUAUCAUUUUCAGAAAUAUAUUCAUAGCAUAAUCUUAUUAAGCCUUUAUUUACCUUACUUGUAUGAUUAUUAUUUUGCAGUGAUGCAGGAAAAUGUAGUGAUAUUGUUGUUUACGUAAAGGGUUAAAUGUCUUUGAAAUGAGUAUUUUAAAUUUUCCCAUGUUAGAAAAUUUUUUUUAUUUUCUUUGUUUAACAAUAUGAACUAUGAGUUUUAACUCUUCUUUCAUAUCAUCAUUAACAAUGAAAUACUUCUGACAAACCCCCAAACAUAACGAACCUUAAUUGUGCUUGGAAUGUUUUGCUUUCGUCCUGUCAUGAAGAUAAAAGGGAAGGAGACUUGCUGAUGAUAGGUAAUCUGUCCCGUGAGGGACAUACAGUCAGGACAUGGUCUUGGAAUUUAAAUAAUAUUCUGAGCCCUCAAAUAAAAUGUUUCAAGCUUAAAAUAAUCAUAUAAACUGUUAAAUUGUAAUAUUUUAGAAUAUUUUUCUAUUCUAGUAUUGUUCUAAUGUUCAAUUGUUGUGUAUAAGUCUUUUAAGUUAUUCAGUGAAGAGCCAGUUUUCACAAAGUAUGAGUUUCUUUUAUAUGUUACUAGGAAUAUUCCUCAAAAACUGUUGUCUUGUAAAAAACAUUUAUGAUAGAGAGGGUAUGUUAGAAAUGGUACAUGUGUCUAUGUAUAUAUUUUAUUUCUAAAAAUGACAGUAUAUUUUAUAAUUAACAUUGUAAAUAUAUCUUGGAUAUAUAUUUACAAAAUAGAACAGUAAAUAUUUUAAUAUGUUCAGUAUUCUUUUGUCCUGGAUAUAAUGAUAGCAUUUAAGACAAAUCCUAGAGAAUGCUUUUCUUAGUAGAUUUUGUGAAUCCUCAAAGUUUGGCUUUAUGAGUUCCUUAAGUUAAUGCUUUAUCCACCUGUGCAAAGAAACAUGCAACUUUUAUUUGGGUACUACUCUAAUUGUGAUUGUAGAAAAAAAUGUAGUAACUGAUUAUUCAAUUAAGAAGUCAGAAUAAUUAAAUAUUCAUUUACUAAGUUGAAAUAUAUACUAAAAUGACAAAAAUUAGUGCUUUUUAAACUGUCUUAUUUUAUGAUAUAGUUAGUAAAUUAUUUCUUCAGUGGUUCUGGUUGUGAUUUUAACACAGUAUAUGUUUUAGAGAGAACAUGCAUGGAAAAUGUGUGUACAGUUCAUUAAGUAUUUGAAAAUAAUAGUCAAGAACUGAGGAAUUCCAGACAGCAAGCACUUGGUGAGAUGCUCAUGGAGUUCUGUUCCCCUGCACCAGUGUCACCUGCUUUGUCUAAUGUAGAACAUUUGUUGAUGUGCUUUUUGAGGUAAAACUGUGUGGAGGAAACUGUGAAAUAUCUUUGUAUGGAUAGAUUAUUGAUUUGCUCAACAUGGAAGUGCUAGGUUUUUUUGUUUUUGUUUUAAAUAACAUUAGAAUAGUAAACCAUUUAACCUUUUAAGUGGAAAUAAUGUUUAGAAUAUAACAGUGUUCUUCAUUGUUUAUUUCUCUACUUUUCUCAACCAUAGUAAAUUGUGAUUCUUUGAAAGGAAAGAAUUCAUUUGUAAAUAUAUGGCUUGCCUAAGUUCUAGUUUUAGGUAGUUACAUUUUCUUUAGUUUUAAAUAAGAAGUUUAUUGUAUGAAAUCCAUCAUGAAUUUCUAAAAAUGUAUGUCAUUUUUAAAUCCAGAUGAAGUGAUUUUUACCAUCUGGCUUCACUUGUUACAGUUACUGCUCUGGUGGUAGGGAAGGAUUUAUGGCAUUUUAGGGGAGCAGGCAGAGGAAGAUCCACAGGAGCAAGGUGCAGUCCCAUUCUUUGCUUUUAACAUGGUAGUUCAGCUUUUUUUUAUUUUGUUGUUUUCUGAGAUUUCACACUGUUUUCAUAGUGUAGAAAGGGUUAGCUGAUCAUUAGGGUUUUGAGGUCCUGUGAGUUUUUAUACUGGUGUACAAGUCAAUUUUAAUAUUUUACAGGUUAGACAUUGUCAUCUCCAUAUAGUAUGAAUUAUCACCAGAUUAUUUAUAUAUUAUUUCAAUUUCUAAAUUAUGUCCAUAUCAAUGUAUCAUAAUCCUCUCGAGCAGGUAAGCCAUGUCCUAGAGGAACACUGCAUGAAGGGCAUGAUCUUUUACCUAUGGCUUCAUUGUGGCUAACAUUGUGGGUGUGAGGUCUGUAACAAAGAUUUCUCUAGAAUUUUUCAACUCCAAAGAAAAUGAUAGGUGUUCUAUCCCUUAUAUUUAGAACUUGAUUAUAAAAUAUAUAUUAAGAUUUCAUUAGGGAAGAAUGGUGCCUAUCAAAUACCUUCCUGUAAGUACUUACAAGGUUUCCAGGGUUGGUGGUUUUAGUCUUUAAUAGGCUUCAUUGCAUAAUACAGUACUCAGGUAAGAAAGUUUAUUAUUUAUCCACACAUCUAUGAUUCAGUAUCUUUAUAAUUUGAGUUACUCAAUGUGUUAGUAGUCUUUGACUUCUCCCUUUCUUUUCAGGCGUUUCUGCUUGUGUGUGUAAAGGGGGAAAGUAAAGUAGAUGGCCCUGCAAUCCUUUAAAUGCUUCUAGAUUUAAAACAAAUGACCAAAGUGUGGACACUUUGCCCCUUCUUAGAAUUGGGAACAAAACACCCAUGGAAGGAGUUACAGAGACAAAGAUUGGAGCUGAGACGAAAGGAUGGACCAUCUAGAGACUGCCAUAUCCAGGGAUCCAUCCUAUAAUCUGCCUCCAAACACUGACACCAGUGCACACACCAGCAAGAUGUUGCUGAAAGGACCCUGAUAUAGCUGUCUCUCGUGAGGCUAUGCCAGUGCCUGGCAAACACAGAAGUGGAUGCUCACAGUCAGCUAUUGGAUGGAUCACAGGGUCCCCAAUGGAGGAGCUAGAGAAAGUACCUAAGGAGCUAAAGGGGUCUGCAACCCUAUAGGUGGAAAAACAAUAUGAACUAACCAGUACCCUCCCCGGAGCUCGUGUCUCUAGCUGCAUAUGUAUCAGAAGAUGGCCUAGUUGGCCAUCACUGAAAAGAGAGGCCCAUUGGUCGUGCAAACUUUAUAUGUCUCAGUACGGGGGAAUGCCAGGGCCAAGAAGUGGUAAUGGGAGGCAAAGAGAGUGGGGGGAGGGUUUGGGGGAUUUUGGGGGUAGGAUUGGAAAUGUAAAUGAAGAAAAUACCUAAUUAAUAAAAAAUAUGCAUGCAGUUAAGGAGACACCUCAGUGACUUCAUCCUUAUCUCAUCCUUGGCUGAUUGAGUUGCACUAUGGAGAGCUGGGUGUAGGGGUGUCUGGAGGUUGACAUGGGAAAAUGUCAAUUCAAGACUAGUCUGGACAAUGAGGCCUAGUUUC
RNAcentral lists this long non-coding RNA (3840 nucleotides) under Mus musculus (house mouse). RNAcentral's name for it is "long non-coding RNA chr13:77834231-77838071". The record is from RNAcentral. Lineage: Eukaryota; Metazoa; Chordata; Mammalia; Rodentia; Muridae.